Molecule: small nucleolar RNA, 85 nt
Filed under: Dasypus novemcinctus (nine-banded armadillo)
Lineage: Eukaryota; Metazoa; Chordata; Mammalia; Cingulata; Dasypodidae
Description: Z30 small nucleolar RNA (ENSDNOG00000033675.1)
Source: RNAcentral
AAACAAUGAGGGGGGGUAAAUAAAUAAAAUAAAUCUUUGUGUUGGCUUUGACCAGGGUAUGAUCGUUAAUCUUCUCUCUGAGUUG